UACAGAGGUGGCAAGCGUUGUUCGGAAUUACUGGGCGUAAAGGGCGCGUAGGCGGCCUUCUAAGUCAGACGUGAAAUCCCCAGGCUCAACCUGGGAACUGCGUCCGAUACUGGAUGGCUUGAAUUCGGGAGAGGGAUGCAGAAUUCCAGGUGUAGCGGUGAAAUGCGUAGAUAUCUGGAGGAAUACCGGUGGCGAAGGCGGCAUCCUGGACCGACAUUGACGCUGAUGAGCGAAAGCUAGGGGAGCAAACGGG
RNAcentral lists this ribosomal RNA (253 nucleotides) under uncultured bacterium. RNAcentral describes it as "partial 16S ribosomal RNA". It matches the Rfam family "Bacterial small subunit ribosomal RNA", at positions 524 to 776 of the family's 1533-position model. The record is from RNAcentral.